AUACUUAUCUGACAGGGGAGAUACCUUGAACAUGAAGGAGGUUUUCCCAAGCUGAGGCUCAUACAUUGCACUCUGGGUGUGCUCACCCCUGUGAUUUCCCCAAAUGUGAAAAACUUGACUGCAUAAUUUGUGGUAGUGGGAGAGUGUGUUUGUGCCUACUCCUG
Molecule: small nuclear RNA, 164 nt
Organism: Python bivittatus (Burmese python)
Lineage: Eukaryota; Metazoa; Chordata; Lepidosauria; Squamata; Pythonidae
Product: U1 spliceosomal RNA
Source: RefSeq, a predicted model, not a curated record